This 427-nucleotide ribosomal RNA is filed under the name uncultured bacterium. RNAcentral describes it as "partial 16S ribosomal RNA". It matches the Rfam family "Bacterial small subunit ribosomal RNA", at positions 355 to 774 of the family's 1533-position model. The record is from RNAcentral.
UGGGGAAUAUUGCACAAUGGUCGCAAGCCUGAUGCAGCCAUGCCGCGUGUAUGAAGAAGGCCUUCGGGUUGUAAAGUACUUUCAGCGGGGAGGAAGGCGAUAAGGUUAAUAACCUUGUCGAUUGACGUUACCCGCAGAAGAAGCACCGGCUAACUCCGUGCCAGCAGCCGCGGUAAUACGGAGGGUGCAAGCGUUAAUCGGAAUUACUGGGCGUAAAGCGCACGCAGGCGGUCUGUCAAGUCGGAUGUGAAAUCCCCGGGCUCAACCUGGGAACUGCAUUCGAAACUGGCAGGCUAGAGUCUUGUAGAGGGGGGUAGAAUUCCAGGUGUAGCGGUGAAAUGCGUAGAGAUCUGGAGGAAUACCGGUGGCGAAGGCGGCCCCCUGGACAAAGACUGACGCUCAGGUGCGAAAGCGUGGGGAGCAAACA